GAGCGAGUAUGGCGUUAACAUUCGUAGCUCUUGUAACGUGCUGUCUCUUCGGGGCUUCCUUCGCCGGCACAUACGAUGAAUCCGAAGGAGGUUACAAGGACAUCUGGAGGGCAAUAACAGAAUCAGACAAGUAUUUCGUUAUCAAGCGCAAUUACAGUCACGGCAGGCUCGAAUGCGACUUUAUGAAGGUGGUCAACAAGGAUAUCAAAAAUCGUCGCCUCGACGCAGUUUUCGGCUACCGUAAUGAAACCGCUAGAACAUACAAUCUGAAUAACAUGCAAGUGACUACAUCAAAAAAUGGGUUGUCGCCAUUCGACAAUAUGAUGACCAUCAGAAGAGCAAAUUCA
Molecule: long non-coding RNA, 347 nt
Organism: Ornithodoros turicata
Lineage: Eukaryota; Metazoa; Arthropoda; Arachnida; Ixodida; Argasidae
Exons: 3
Source: RefSeq, a predicted model, not a curated record